Motacilla alba alba is the source of this 2377-nucleotide long non-coding RNA. RefSeq lists it as uncharacterized. The record is from RefSeq and is a predicted model, not a curated record. The transcript is spliced from 3 exons. Lineage: Eukaryota; Metazoa; Chordata; Aves; Passeriformes; Motacillidae.
UCUUGAUGAAAUUUUAACUCACUUGAAUAGGUCUUAAAUGACUUUACAUUCUGAGCCUCUGUGAAAAAAAUUCUGUGUCAGUGCCACCAGAUAAAUCCCAGGUCCCUCCUCUGCUGAAUGGCUGUGGAGUUUCUUCAGGUUCCUCACGCACUCAGGUGCUCCCAAAUAAAACUUUCUGCCUCAUGGGAGUACUGUGAGUGUAAGGGAGGCUCAUAUCUGCUAACCCGAUGGGAUCCAUUGAGCUUCAGAGGUUCUCAGCUGACCUAGCUGUACUUCAGCCUUGCUCCAGCAUCAGACUUCUGAUCUUGAUUUAAGCAACACCUUCCUCAGCAUUAAGCAGCUUGCCCAGCAUUGACUGCCCUGUUUACAGAUAAAACCUGCUCCUCCAGCAAGAGGAGGAAAGCCUCCAAAACCCCUCACUUCACUGCCCUGGUCAGCUGUGACUGCUGCUUCAGGUUUCUGGUCCUGUGGUCGGUCUUGGAUCACUGUGUUUGGGUCAAUCCUUGAGGAGAUGCAAAUAGAGCUCCAAUUAAUGCAGUGCCGGAGGGGAUGUGUUGGGCUGUAGGUGGACCCUGCCUCUUGUACCAAGGCUUCCAUGACUUUAGGGAUGGUAAAUAAAGUCAGAGAGGCUGUUUCCUUCCUCAAGACAUGGGGAGGUGUGAAGAAGACACCAGUUUCAAAUGUGACAGACCUGAGGAAGCUCGAAGAGCAGAGGUGCUGUGCCCACAGUGGCUUCCCAGCCCCUGCCACGGACAUGGGGAAACUUGCUGGCAGCAGGAACAGUGCCAGGCUGCUGGGUGGAAAGGAGAGACCAUGGCUACAAAGAGUGGGAUUGAAUGCUGUUAAACAGAGCAUAAUGUACAAUGUUUAUUUGAAAUUAAUGAGGCUUGCAUGUCUUCAAAAUGCAUUUUAAUAUUUAAAUUGCUGCAAAAGUAAAUUAUUAAAACAAAGUGUCCAUGAAUUAUCACCCUUGAUCACCCAAGAUGCAGUACUAGAAAAUGAGAAACAAAGAGUGCCUAGGUCGGUGAGGUAAAGGAAAGGCUGUCCCCUUUUCAUGUUGAAUUUUUUACACUGCCAGAUCACCUCUUUUCAUUUCUGUUCAGCUGUGGGAAAGAUGUCUUAGGAAGGACGUCUUAAAAUGGGAUCCAAAUCAGGACCUAGUAUGGAACUCAGAGGUUUUGGUGUUCCAGCCACCAAUAUCCACAACUGAUGGAACAGAGCAAAUCCACCCACAUAAGUGGAUUAAUUCUGGCAUUAGACAGAGAAGAAACAGCUAUGUCAGGACCUUCCUCUCAUCUUCCUUACUUCCAGAGGAAGAUCAGUCCAGCAAUUAUUUCUACAUCUCCUCCCAAACAGUGCAAGAGAAGAGGGUUUUAUUAAGUGCUCCCAGCUUUCUAGAGGAAAAGAGUGUCUGAGCUUCCUCCCAGAUUUGCAGGGCUCCUGCUCUGUGCACACACUGUGAAGAAAACCAGAACAUGUGAGAUGGUGAGAGAUCAUUUCAUUGCAGAGAGCUACUCGACCUUGGAUCUCUGCCCUCCUUUGUUGGAAGAAUCCUUGGACAAGGGACAAGUUUUCUUUCUUCUGCUUGCAAGAGCAGGGCUACUGAUGGGUCUCUGUUUAACACAAGGAGUGAAGGGAAGCCCUAGGAAAUAACAAAAGUAUUUUGGUAUUAUUAAACUCAGGCUUUGUCUUACACCCUCUCCACCAAGAAUUUGUGAGAAUUUCAUAGAACAAGACGUGAAGAAAUCAAUAGAGGAAACAGCAUCUGAACCACAAUGCAGGCAUUUAAUGUCUCCUUGUGCAUUAAAUUACCCAAUUAAUGUUUCCUGUUGCCUUAGCCUGUUCUAAUAAGGCUUGACUGUCGCUUAUCAGCCCUUAAUCUUCUAAAUGAUGAGCAAGAACUGCAGCUGGAUUCACAAGAGCCUUUGGGGCACAAUACCAAACUCCCAGAGUGACAAAGAUCCAUCCUUGGAAUUAUGCUUAUUAGGGUUUCUCAUUCAUUAUCAUUUACUUCACAUAGAUAUCCACUAAUAAGAUCAGAUUGACUUUAUUAUUUAUUAUUUAUUAAGUACUAUUAAAAUAGAUCCACUGGACAAUCAUUUUCUGUGUAUAAGUAAUUCCUCAAUAAAUCAGCUUUUUUUGUUGCAUAAAAAUGUCAUUCCAGAUACCAAUACUUCUUUGAGUUAACUGAGUUUGCCUGCUAUGCGGGCUUAUUUUUCCUGAAAGGCUGCCAUUUAGUUUAGAAUGUUUUGGGGUAAGAAAAAAUUUUCCAGAGUAACUGAAAGUAAUUUUUAUGGGCUGUGUCCAUGACUUAGCUAAUUAGAAUAAAGAUGUUGGGAAAGAGUGGUAGGUAACAAGUAACUAACAGGGAUAAAUU